Long non-coding RNA from Carya illinoinensis, 1262 nucleotides. RefSeq lists it as uncharacterized. The transcript has 2 exons. Lineage: Eukaryota; Viridiplantae; Streptophyta; Magnoliopsida; Fagales; Juglandaceae. The record is from RefSeq and is a predicted model, not a curated record.
AUGGAUAAUAAAUAAAAUAAUUUAAUUAAUUUAAUAAAAAUAAAAUAAAAUAAAAAAUAAAAAAUAAUAUUUUAAUAUAUAAAAUAUGUAAUGUGAAAUGAUAUAUUAGUAUUUUUCUAUUACUAAUUAGGCAUGCAAGAGGGCUUUUGCAUUCUUACUUUUCAAAAUGGAGCAGUAUAGGUUCUAUAGAUACGGUGUUUUUUUGGAAGCUGAGCACGGGCUGCCACCAAGCGGAGCUGCGAGCACAAAAAUACGCCAAAAAUCUAUCAGCCAAUUGAACUCCCUUCCCUUCAUUGGGUAGAUAAACGGAAACCCAACAACAACAACAACAACCCUAUAAACCCAAAUAAGCAAAAAGUAUGAAAUCGCUUUUAUUUGACCUCCUCUUGCUGUCUCCUGAGCCUAGCAUUCUCUUUCUGUAAACGGGCAACUUCAAGUUCCAACUCGUUCGUGUAAGCCUGCAAAAAGGAUUCACCACGCAAGAAGGGAACGAUGAAGAAGAGCAUGAGCAUUCGAAAGGAGAGUUCAGGGAAGAAACAAAAGAAGGUGCAGUGAAACCGGCAUGCCUUUGCAAUUGUGGGUUUGACCCAACACCAACCGGAGUACGGACUUCAGGGUAUGGAAAAUCAGAACCGGAAUUCAAGCUCAGAAUAGUUGCUGGAGUUGGCGCCAGAGAACCCAAGAAAGUGGUAUCCACGGCCAAAGAAGGCUCGGUGGCGCCAGAUGAUGACGCGCCUCUUGUUGGUGGCUCUUUGUUGGGAGGCCGAGCCAAGAAGUCUUGGAGAUCAAUCGUAGCACAAAAGGCAGGGUUGUGGGUGGUGGUGGUGGUGGUGGAGGAGAGGGUGUUGCUGGAGUGAUCUUGAAGAGAGGCUAAGCUGAUGUCUUUCCAAACUUCUUCCAUGAAUUUUCUGGCAGGAGGGGUUGGGAGGACUGGUGAAGAAGCUGAAAAGGGCGAGGGACAAGAGCAUGUGGAGGAGGAUUUGGAGGGUGGGCAGGAGUUUCCAUUUCUGCCAUUAUUGUUGAUUUCGCCUGUUGAUGAACCCAUGGUUGGGGGGAGAGGUAGAGAGAGAGAGAUAGACCAGAUGGAGGGAGAGAAAAAUAGUUGGGAACCAGGAAGCGGAGAGGUCUGUGUGUUGACCCUCCUGGCUUGCGGUCCUCGCAUAAAGGUUCUGUUCCCUCUGCUGUCCUAAAACUCGGUCUCAAACUCUAUCUUGCUUUGUCUUGUAACCGACAAAUACUAAACUCACCGAGACUCUUUUUAA